This is a long non-coding RNA of Panicum hallii, 1649 nucleotides long. RefSeq lists it as uncharacterized. NCBI's taxonomy places the organism in Eukaryota, Viridiplantae, Streptophyta, Magnoliopsida, Poales, Poaceae. The record is from RefSeq and is a predicted model, not a curated record. The transcript is spliced from 3 exons.
UCAGCCCAUCCGCACGUCUUCUUGCUCUUGUCGCUGCUCCGCCGACCGCCGCCGCCACUGAUGCCUUGCGUGCUCCUCCGCGUGCUCCUGAAUCCUGAAUUCUGAUGCAACGGAGACCAGCACCUCAGGACCGAGAUCGACGUCUGCGGACUGCCGCUAGCCGCCUGCCGCCCAGCUGAUGUUCGCCGUCGGCUUCCUCGGAUGCGGCUGGUCGCCGGCCAGCACCGCUGAUGUUCAUGUUCCGUCUACAUCUGGGAAGACUUUCCAAGCGUCGUUCCCUCCGCGUACCAGUUGACGUCCCGCGUCGUCCCCGUUCCUCGUUGAGGAACGAGGUUCCCGGAACAAGGAACGGCACGUCGUUACCCGUUCCGUGUGACUAAGGCCUAAGGAGCACUCCGGAGAGGAGGAAACGCGCCAAUCAUCGGUGGAAUUACUCAUGAAAAGAUUCGAUAUUGGUGAGUCAUGGUGACGAGAUGUCAGACCAUGCCCGCAUUCAAACAACAAGAUCCCGUGUCAUGUAUCUUCAGCAAAAAGGUAUGUAAAACAGGUGCCUUAUCUCUUAAAAAUAAAUAUGACUCCAAGUAGACAUUCCUUAACGAAAACUAUCUAUUUUCACUCUAACAAAAUAUGCAUCAAUGUGAAUUUUUUAAAGGUAAUAUAGAGUUGUUUGUUCCAUGAAUAAGGUAAUGAAAUCAUAGAGAUAAAUACCUCCCAAAUGUAAGCAUUGCCCGAAUGAGCUCCUCCAACUAAGUAUAUCCCAUCUUUGGAGCAAGUGAUAGGUCCAAUUGCUUCUCCUAUGCAACUUUUACUGGUUACCUGGAUCUGGAUAAAAUGCGUAAACCAUAAGAUAUAUAAUAAAUCAAUGUAUAAUUAUAUAUAAAUAGUAACAUCUUUAUUUUACAAACUUUUUUACGUCAUGGUGGGCUGAAGAUAUGCAUUGCAUACGGACUAUUUACCUCAGUACAUUUUUUUUAGAAAAGGGAGAUGUUCCUCAGCACAUAGUAUUAACCACAAACUAAUUUAGACUAUAUACUCCCUGCACAUCAAAAUGUAAGUUUUGUCCAAAAUCAAAGUUCUUUAAUUUUUUACUAAGUUUAUGGGAAAAUUCACAAACAUUUGUGGCCUUGAAACAUUUUCUUUUUCAGAUUCAUUUUGUAAUAUAUAUACAUAUGUCACUAAGAUUUUCUAUGGACUUGGUUAAAGUUAAAGAAAUUUGACUUAUGACAAAAACUAAAAUGACCUACAUUUUUAAAAUAGUGGGAGUAGAUUCUAGCAUUUUCCAAAAAUACCAUGCAAAACGUUAUGUACAUGUGACAUAUGGGUAACAAAACAAUAACGCAAAUCUACUGCAUACGGAGGGAAUAAUCAUUACUGUUUUUGUCUAUCUCUGUUUCCCAUGGCGGUGGGGAUGAUUAAAUCUGGUGAAUAUGGGACAGCAUAUACUUGUCACAUUAGCAACUAGCUCAACAGGAUUACUUCAUAAACAAGGGAUAGUUUGUACUAGUUUUGAAUAUUUUGCGGUUUAAAUGACCCAUAAUAUGUACUAGAGUAUCUAGGCAUUAAAAAUAGUUGUUUUUUAUCAAGGAAAAUAGUUGGUUUGAAUUAUAUCUGCUAGUCCACCAACCUGCGCUGCUGCAUGGAUUUGUAAU